This 468-nucleotide ribosomal RNA is filed under the name uncultured bacterium. RNAcentral describes it as "partial 16S ribosomal RNA". It matches the Rfam family "Bacterial small subunit ribosomal RNA", at positions 28 to 507 of the family's 1533-position model. The record is from RNAcentral.
GACGAACGCUGGCGGCGUGCUUAACACAUGCAAGUCGAACGGAAAGGCCCUGCUUUUGUGGGGUGCUCGAGAGGCGAACGGGUGAGUAACACGUGAGUAACCUGCCCUUGACUUUGGGAUAACUUCAGGAAACUGGGGCUAAUACCGGAUAGGAGCUCCUGCUGCAUGGUGGGGGUUGGAAAGUUUCGGCGGUUGGGGAUGGACUCGCGGCUUAUCAGCUUGUUGGUGGGGUAGUGGCUUACCAAGGCUUUGACGGGUAGCCGGCCUGAGAGGGUGACCGGCCACAUUGGGACUGAGAGACGGCCCAGACUCCUACGGGAGGCAGCAGUGGGGAAUAUUGCACAAUGGGCGGAAGCCUGAUGCAGCAACGCCGCGUGCGGGAUGACGGCCUUCGGGUUGUAAACCGCUUUCGCCUGUGACGAAGCGUGAGUGACGGUAAUGGGUAAAGAAGCACCGGCUAACUACGUG